Molecule: long non-coding RNA, 297 nt
Filed under: Capsicum annuum
Lineage: Eukaryota; Viridiplantae; Streptophyta; Magnoliopsida; Solanales; Solanaceae
Description: long non-coding RNA (CANN_LNC015478)
Source: RNAcentral
GUAAAUCCAAGUCAGGCAACAAGUCUCUCUUCCCAUUUUUCUCGAAGGCCCAUUUCAUUUUUCUUCACACUCAUCUACAAUGCUUCCCUCAAUUCUCUGCUCCCCUUCCUCCUCUUCCACCUCCCUUUUCCCUUUCAACUAUUUCACCCUUUAUUCUCCUUCUUCAUCCUUAACCAAUCUCCCAUCACUUACAUACAAAACAACAAUCAAAAAAUCAACACACAAUCACUCCACAAGGGUCCAAGCUAUGAUCGAAAAAGAAACCCCAGUGACUCAACGCCCAUACACAUUCCUCCG